Molecule: ribosomal RNA, 492 nt
Filed under: uncultured bacterium
Lineage: Bacteria
Description: partial 16S ribosomal RNA
Rfam family: Bacterial small subunit ribosomal RNA
Source: RNAcentral
AGUGAACGCUGGCGGUAGGCCUAACACAUGCAAGUCGAACGGCAGCACAGUAAGAGCUUGCUCUUACGGGUGGCGAGUGGCGGACGGGUGAGGAAUACAUCGGAAUCUACUUUUUCGUGGGGGAUAACGUAGGGAAACUUACGCUAAUACCGCAUACGACCUACGGGUGAAAGCAGGGGAUCUUCGGACCUUGCGCGAUUGAAUGAGCCGAUGUCGGAUUAGCUAGUUGGCGGGGUAAAGGCCCACCAAGGCGACGAUCCGUAGCUGGUCUGAGAGGAUGAUCAGCCACACUGGAACUGAGAAAAGGUCCAGACUCCUAAGGGAGGCAGCAGUGGGGAAUAUUGGAAAAUGGGCGCAAGCCUGAUCCAGCCAUAACGCGUGGGUGAAGAAGGCCUUCGGGUUGUAAAGCCCUUUUGUUGGGAAAGAAAAGCAGCAGGUUAAUACCCCGCUGUUCUGACGGUACCCAAAGAAUAAGCACCGGCUAACUUCGUG